CCUACGGGGAGGCAGCAGGUGGGGUAAUUUUGGACAAUGGGCGAAAGCCUGAUCCAGCCAUUCCGCGUGCAGGAUGAAGGCCCUCGGGUUGUAAACUGCUUUUGUACAGAACGAAAAGGUUUCUAUUAAUACUAGGAGCUCAUGACGGUACUGUAAGAAUAAGCACCGGCUAACUACGUGCCAGCAGCCGUGGUAAUACGUAGGGUGCAAGCGUUAAUCGGAAUUACUGGGCGUAAAGCGUGCGCAGGCGGUUAUAUAAGUCAGAUGUGAAAUCCCCGGGCUCAACCUGGGAACUGCAUUUGAGACUGUAUAGCUAGAGUACGGUAGAGGGGGAUGGAAUUCCGCGUGUAGCAGUGAAAUGCGUAGAUAUGCGGAGGAACACCGAUGGCGAAGGCAAUCCCCUGGACCUGUACUGACGCUCAUGCACGAAAGCGUGGGGAGCAAACAGGAUUAGAUACCCUGGUAGUCCACGCCCUAAACGAUGUCAACUGGUUGUUGGGUCUUAACUGACUCAGUAACGAAGCUAACGCGUGAAGUUGACCGCCUGGGGAGACGCGCGAGUAGAGANAGAGAGUAGACGNGNGAGAGNGACGACGACGACGACGAGGGAGGAGG
RNAcentral lists this ribosomal RNA (615 nucleotides) under uncultured bacterium. RNAcentral's name for it is "bacterial SSU rRNA". The stretch from base 1 to 545 matches the Rfam family "Bacterial small subunit ribosomal RNA", at positions 338 to 873 of the family's 1533-position model. The record is from RNAcentral.